UGGGGAAUAUUGCACAAUGGAGGGAACUCUGAUGCAGCGACGCCGCGUGAGUGAUGAAGGAAUUCGUUUCGUAAAACUCUGUUCUAUGGGAAGAAAAGGACUGUACCAUAGGAGAAAGCUCCGGCUAAAUACGUGCCAGCAGCCGCGGUAAUACGUAUGGAGCGAGCGUUGUCCGGAAUUAUUGGGCGUAAAGGGUGCGCAGGCGGCUUUACAAGUUGGAUGUGAAAUAUUGUGGCUCAACCACAAACGUGCAUCCAAAACUGCAAAGCUUGAGUUAAGGAGAGGUAAGUGGAAUUCCUGGUGUAGCGGUGGAAUGCGUAGAUAUCAGGAGGAAUACCGGUGGCGAAGGCGACUUACUGGACUUAAACUGACGCUCAGGCACGAAAGCGUGGAGAGCAAACAGG
Molecule: ribosomal RNA, 404 nt
Filed under: Fusobacteriota bacterium
Lineage: Bacteria; Fusobacteriati; Fusobacteriota
Description: Fusobacteria bacterium partial 16S ribosomal RNA
Rfam family: Bacterial small subunit ribosomal RNA
Source: RNAcentral